AUGCUUAGUGGCGGACGGGUGAGUAACGCGUGAGCAACCUGCCUUUCAGAGGGGGACAACAGUUGGAAACGACUGCUAAUACCGCAUGAAGCAUUGGGAGGGCAUCCUCUUAAUGCCAAAGAUUUAUCGCUGAAAGAUGGGCUCGCGUCUGAUUAGGUAGUUGGUGAGGUAACGGCCCACCAAGCCGACGAUCAGUAGCCGGACUGAGAGGUUGAACGGCCACAUUGGGACUGAGAUACGGCCCAGACUCC
This 251-nucleotide ribosomal RNA is filed under the name uncultured Oscillospiraceae bacterium. Its description in RNAcentral is "partial 16S ribosomal RNA". It matches the Rfam family "Bacterial small subunit ribosomal RNA", at positions 88 to 339 of the family's 1533-position model. Lineage: Bacteria; Bacillati; Bacillota; Clostridia; Eubacteriales; Oscillospiraceae. The record is from RNAcentral.